RNAcentral lists this ribosomal RNA (405 nucleotides) under uncultured bacterium. RNAcentral's name for it is "partial 16S ribosomal RNA". It matches the Rfam family "Bacterial small subunit ribosomal RNA", at positions 30 to 526 of the family's 1533-position model. The record is from RNAcentral.
AUUGAACGCUAGCGGGAUGCUUUACACAUGCAAGUCGAACGAGUGGCGGACGGGUGAGUAAUAUAUCGGAACGUGCCCCGUAGCGGGGGGUAACUACUCGAAAGAGUGGCUAAUACCGCCUACUAUUGGAGCGGCCGAUCUCGGAUUAGCUAGUUGGUGGGGUAAAGGCUCACCAGGGCAACGAUCCGUAGCUGGUUUGAGAGGACGACCGGCCACACGGGAACUGAGACACGGCCCAGACUCCUACGGGAGGAAGCGGUGGGGAAUUUUGGACAAUGGGGGAAACCCUGAUCCGGCCAUCCCGCGGGUAUGAGAAGGCCUUCGGGUUGUAAAGUACUUUUGGCAGGGAGGCGGUAUCGGCAGAAUAAGCACCGGCUAACUACGUGCCAGCAGCCGCGGUAAUAC